AUCCGGCUGACGAGUCCCAAAUAGGAUGAAACGCGCGACAGAUUGUAU
RNAcentral lists this non-coding RNA (48 nucleotides) under Schistosoma curassoni. The record is from RNAcentral. Lineage: Eukaryota; Metazoa; Platyhelminthes; Trematoda; Strigeidida; Schistosomatidae.